CCUACGGGAGGCAGCAGUGAGGAAUAUUGGUCAAUGGACGAGAGUCUGAACCAGCCAAGUAGCGUGAAGGAUGACUGCCCUAUGGGUUGUAAACUUCUUUUAUAUGGGAAUAAAAUGUUCCACGUGUGGGAUUUUGUAUGUACCAUAUGAAUAAGGAUCGGCUAACUCCGUGCCAGCAGCCGCGGUAAUACGGAGGAUCCGAGCGUUAUCCGGAUUUAUUGGGUUUAAAGGGAGCGUAGGUGGAUUGUUAAGUCAGUUGUGAAAGUUUGCGGCUCAACCGUAAAAUUGCAGUUGAAACUGGCAGUCUUGAGUACAGUAGAGGUGGGCAGAAUUCGUGGUGUAGCGGUGAAAUGCUUAGAGAUCACGAAGAACUCCGAUUGCGAAGGCAGUUCACUGGACUGCAACUGACACUGAGGCUCGAAAGUGUGGGUAUCAAACAGGAUUAGAUACCCGAGUAGUC
RNAcentral lists this ribosomal RNA (460 nucleotides) under uncultured bacterium. RNAcentral describes it as "partial 16S ribosomal RNA". It matches the Rfam family "Bacterial small subunit ribosomal RNA", at positions 338 to 795 of the family's 1533-position model. The record is from RNAcentral.